RNAcentral lists this ribosomal RNA (253 nucleotides) under uncultured bacterium. Its description in RNAcentral is "partial 16S ribosomal RNA". It matches the Rfam family "Bacterial small subunit ribosomal RNA", at positions 524 to 776 of the family's 1533-position model. The record is from RNAcentral.
UACGAAGGGGGCUAGCGUUGUUCGGAAUUACUGGGCGUAAAGCGCGUGUAGGCGGAUUGUUAAGUCGGGGGUGAAAUCCUGGAGCUCAACUCCAGAACGGCCUUCGAUACUGGCAAUCUCGAGUCCGGAAGAGGUGAGUGGAAUUCCUAGUGUAGAGGUGGAAUUCGUAGAUAUUAGGAAGAACACCAGUGGCGAAGGCGGCUCACUGGUCCGGUACUGACGCUGAGGCGCGAAAGCGUGGGGAGCAAACAGG